RNAcentral lists this transfer RNA (76 nucleotides) under Bdellovibrio bacteriovorus. RNAcentral's name for it is "tRNA-Lys". It matches the Rfam family "tRNA". From Rfam's summary of the family: Transfer RNA (tRNA) molecules are approximately 80 nucleotides in length. RNAcentral also lists the same sequence under 5 other names. The record is from RNAcentral. Lineage: Bacteria; Pseudomonadati; Bdellovibrionota; Bdellovibrionia; Bdellovibrionales; Pseudobdellovibrionaceae.
GGGCCGUUAGCUCAGCUGGUAGAGCAGUGGACUCUUAAUCCAUCGGUCCGGGGUUCGAAUCCCUGACGGCCCACCA